This is an RNA transcript of Diospyros lotus (date-plum), 3513 nucleotides long. RefSeq lists it as uncharacterized. Lineage: Eukaryota; Viridiplantae; Streptophyta; Magnoliopsida; Ericales; Ebenaceae. The transcript is spliced from 16 exons. The record is from RefSeq and is a predicted model, not a curated record.
CACAACGAGAAAGCGCAAUGUCCACGACUGUCCCGGUUGCUCUUCCCGGCUAAAAUGCGCUUCCGCGGCCAGGUUGCUUCUCAGUUAACACCGCCGGAAAAAGCCUAGAACCCCGCCGCACGCCGGCGCCGCCGCAUUGGCCGCCACUCAGCUUACGUGGCAAUCCUGUCCAACGUCAGCUUCGCCGAAAAACAAAAACCGAAGCGCAUUUGGAGGAAUUGGAUUCCGUUUCCAUCCCGAAAUGGAUAAUCUCAUCCGAACCGCGAAUAAUCCCUCCAAUCCAAAACCGGCAAUGAAAGCUGUAUAACAAUUCCAACAAUUCGUAUGAAUUUUAAAUGCCUUCGGCAAGUGCAGCGCCAAAUAGUAAUCCCGCCAAGGCGAAGCUUAUUCCCGAUUCCGAUUCCUCGCUUGCCCACUUUCAAAAAUGCGUAUUUAAGCACAAAAUGCGAAUUCCCAAGAAACCUACCGUUUCAUUUUCCCUCUCUUCACUCUUCUUUACUUCCCCUUCCGAAUUCCAUUCCAUUCGCUCCCUUUCUUCGAGAGCUUUCCGUCGUUCUUCCUGCAAAACAAGCGCGAAUCCCACCGUAGGAGCUAAUCAGUUGGAUUCCAGUUGUACAAUGAAAGGGAUUAGUGUUGAUGACAAUGUAUCGCAAUCACAGAGUAUGACUGCUGAAGGUGGUCAGGGCCCGUGUAUUUGGUCAUCUCCUGGUGGCGGCGGCAGCGACAUUCGAAUAGGGAAACAUAUAUUUUGUAAUCGAUCUUUAAAUAUGAAAAAUAUUGUUGCGGUGGGUUUUGACAUGGAUUAUACCCUCGCGCAAUACAAAUCGGAAACGUUUGAGUCUCUUGCGUACAAUGGCACUGUUAAAAAGCUGGUGUAUGAUUUGGGGUAUGCUUCAGAGUUGUUGGAGUGGACUUUUGACUGGAAGUACAUGGUCAGAGGUUUGGUUCUCGAUAAAAAGAGGGGCAAUAUAUUGAAGAUGGACAGGCAUAAAUAUGUAAAAGUAGCUUAUCAUGGAUUUAGAGAGUUAUCAAAAGAAGAUAAAGUUGCCGCAUACGGAAGCACUCUGACUCGAGAUUCAUUUGAUGAACCUGAUUAUGCCCUUAUUGAUACCCUUUUUUCUCUGGCUGAAGCAUACUUGUUUGCUCAACUUGUUGACUUCAAGGACAAUAAUCCUGGAAAAGUUCCAGAUGGCACAGACUAUUCUCGUAUGUACAGAGAUGUUCGAGCUGCUGUGGACUUGUGCCAUCGGGAUGGGACCUUGAAGCAAAUGGUCGCGAAAAAUCCUGAAAUGUAUAUCAAUGAGGAUGCAUCAAUUGUUCCCAUGCUGAAAAUGCUCAGAGACUCUGGCCGUGCAACAUUUUUGGUGACAAAUAGUCUAUGGGACUACACAAACAUAGUAAUGACUUUUCUCUGUGGGCCUCAUACAGCGGAUGGUAGUUCCACUUCAAAAUUUGAGUGGCUCCGAUUAUUUGAUGUGGUCAUUACUGGAAGUGCAAAACCAAGUUUCUUCCAUGAUGAGAAACGUGCCAACCUCUUUGAGGUUGUACCUGACUCUGGAGUGCUACUGAACACUGAUAAUGGCACUCCUGUACCUCAGGUGGGAGCUGCUUUACACCAUCCACUAAAAAUCAUGAAUAAGGAUUGUCGAGUAUUCCAGGGUGGUAAUGUCGGUCAUCUCCAUAAACUACUUGGUAUUGAGUCGAGUUCGCAGGUUCUUUAUGUUGGGGAUCAUAUAUAUGGAGACAUUUUACGCAGCAAAAAGGUUCUAGGGUGGAGAACAAUGCUAGUUGUUCCUGAGCUUGAGAAGGAGGUAGAGCUCCUUUGGGAUCUGAGGGAUACCCGUGAGGAACUUCGACUGUUGAGGAAAGAGCGUGACCUUGUUGAAGGCAAAAUACAACGUCUGAAAUGGUCUCUAAAGAUCGGAGGACUGGACGGACGAUUGGCACGGGGCUUGAGUCUCACGGUCUCUACUAUCUGUCUCUCCUUGCUUCUUUAGUGGUGUGCACGACGACAACUUCCCCACUACAAGUCCAUUGUCGGUUGGGGCACCCAUCUCUUCCCAAUCUUAAGAAGAUGGUUCCCAGUCUCUCUAGUAUUUCUUCCUUAGAGUGUGAGUCUUGUUAACUUGGGAAACAUAGUCGUAGUUAUUUCCCGAGUAGAGUCAAUAAACGUGCUAAUUCUUCUUUUUCAGUAGUCCAUUCAGAUGUAUGGGGUCCCAAUCGUGUCAGUUCACAAGACGAUUUUCGUUAUUUUGUAACAUUUAUUGAUGAUUUCUCUCGGAUUACAUGGUUAUAUUUAAUGAAAACGCGUUCAGAGCUAUUUUCAGUCUUCACUACAUUUUGUGCUGAAAUUAGAACACAGUUUAAUUUGCCUAUCUGUGUUCUUCGUAGUGAUAAUGCUCUUGAAUAUUUGUCUCUCCCAUUUAAAUCUUAUAUGGCAUCCAAUGGGAUUCUUCACCAGACUUUGUGUCCUAGAACCCCACAACAAAAUGGGGUAGCUGAACGCAAGAAUCGUCAUUUAAUUGAGACAGCCCGUACUCUUCUCCUUCAUAUGCAUGUUCCACUUCAAUACUGGAGCGAUGCUGUUUUAACUGCAUGUUACUUAAUUAACCGCAUGCCAUCUUCUGUUCUUAAUGACCAGAUUCCUCAUUCCAUUCUUUUUCCUCGAGUUGACUUAUAUUCUCUUCCUCCUCGUAUCUUUGGGAGUACGUGCUUUGUUCACCAUCUUGCUCCAGGUCGUGAUAAGUUAUCCGCUCGUUCCGUCAAAUGUGUUUUUCUGGGUUAUUCUCGCCUUCAAAAGGGGUAUCGUUGCUACUCUCCUCAAUUAACUUGAUAUUUUAUUUCAGCGGAUGUUACCUUCUUUGAGUCAUCUCCUUAUUUCCCUUAUUCAUCUGCGAUCUCCGAUUCUGUGUCUGUUGGGUUACCUUUGCCUAUCCCUUUUCUUGACCUAACAUCAUCUCCAGCUCCAAUGUCUUCACCCUCUCCACCAUCCUUUACCUCUCACCUUGAUCGCACCGAUCUUCAGGUCUAUCAACGGCGUCCACAACUCGUGGCCCAACCAGCACCGACAGUUGUCGUUAGUCCGCGGGAGCCGUCUCCAGACUCAUCCCCUGUACCAGUUCGUUCUUCCUCCUUCGGUUCGUCGCCUUCGACUCUUGAUCUUGACUUGCCUAUUGCUCUUCGUAAAGGUACUCGCCAUCCUAUUUCCCAUUUUGUUAGCUAUGAUAAUUUGUCCCCUGGAUAUUCUGCUUUUAUUUCUUCUUUAUCUUCUGUUUCACCUCCUAAAUCUGUUCCCGAAGCUCUUUCCCAUCUAGGGUGGCGGGCUGCUAUGGUCGAAGAAAUGUCUGCUUUACAUUCUACCGGGACUUGGGACUUGGUACCUCUUCCCAAGGGUUUGAAGGACUUGAUGGUGGGGAGAAGCAAGGGCUAUCAUUUGAGCUUGCGCAGUUGGAGUCUAAAAGAGAGGAGGUUCGUCUUAGUCAUCAACAAGCUCUGCGGCAAUUUCACCAAAAG